RNAcentral lists this long non-coding RNA (463 nucleotides) under Trifolium pratense (red clover). RNAcentral's name for it is "long non-coding RNA (TPRA_LNC005628)". The record is from RNAcentral. Lineage: Eukaryota; Viridiplantae; Streptophyta; Magnoliopsida; Fabales; Fabaceae.
AUCAACAAAGGAUAUUAUGUUUACAACAAAAGAUAGGAUUAGCAAAGUUAAAUAUGCCAUCACGGGCUUAAUACAAUCCAAUCGAAUAACCCGACCCGGUAAAUAUCUAAUCAGAGCAAUACUAUACAACCCAUCAAAAAGAUAUAUAACAUAUAUCUAAGGAGUAGUCUACGCUAACUCCUCACCAAAAAGUGUGCUACACCAAGCACGAGCAACGCCCUCUAACUCUGAUCGGNNNNNGGUCCAGCACAUAACACAAAGCAUGAGAGUUAGAUCACAUAAUCAAAAUACAAGUGCAAGUAAAUCGAUACUUAAACACUACUUCAACAACAUAAGCAUGCCUCACAAUUAUACAUAUACAUAUACAUACACAUAUAUUCACAUCUAUAAUCCAAUUAGAAGUUCUCAAAAACACAUAAUCGAAUACCAACUAUCAAGUAUCAAUUAGCAAAUACCACAAUAG